Molecule: ribosomal RNA, 560 nt
Filed under: Candidatus Atelocyanobacterium thalassae
Lineage: Bacteria; Bacillati; Cyanobacteriota; Cyanophyceae; Chroococcales; Aphanothecaceae
Description: bacterial SSU rRNA
Rfam family: Bacterial small subunit ribosomal RNA
Source: RNAcentral
UAGUCUGGUGCCAGCAGCCGCGGUAAUACGGGAGUGGCAAGCGUUAUCCGGAAUUAUUGGGCGUAAAGCGUCCGCAGGCGGCCUUUCAAGUCUGCUGUUAAAACGUGGAGCUUAACUCCAUCAUGGCAGUGGAAACUGAUAGGCUUGAGUAUGGUAGGGGCAGAGGGAAUUCCCGGUGUAGCGGUGAAAUGCGUAGAUAUCGGGAAGAACACCAGUGGCGAAGGCGCUCUGCUGGGCCAUUACUGACGCUCAUGGACGAAAGCCAGGGGAGCGAAAGGGAUUAGAUACCCCUGUAGUCCUGGCCGUAAACGAUGAACACUAGGUGUCGGGGGAAUCGACCCCUUCGGUGUCGUAGCUAACGCGUUAAGUGUUCCGCCUGGGGAGUACGCACGCAAGUGUGAAACUCAAAGGAAUUGACGGGGGCCCGCACAAGCGGUGGAGUAUGUGGUUUAAUUCGAUGCAACGUGAAGAACCUUACCAGGGUUUGACAUCCUGCGAACCUCUUAGAAAUUUGAGGGUGCCUUCGGGAAUGCAGUGACAGGUGGUGCAUGGCCGUUCUU